This is a non-coding RNA of Bactrocera oleae (olive fruit fly), 5571 nucleotides long. NCBI's taxonomy places the organism in Eukaryota, Metazoa, Arthropoda, Insecta, Diptera, Tephritidae. The record is from RefSeq and is a predicted model, not a curated record.
UAUGAAACAUUUGAAUUGCUGUAUUUCUCAAAACUUUUUUCAGUAUCUGGCGUUCACAUAUGUAAUGUUGUUGUAGCGGCAAGAAACAUUUCUGAAGUAAUUUGGAGGAAAACAGGCGAGUUGACAGUCCUUGGCUGGAUAAAGAUCCGGAUCCGUUCUGGUUAUACAAACCCGACGGUCGAGGGGAUAGAGUUUCUAUUAUAUAAAAUUUCCAAAUUACUUUUCACUUAUAAUUCCGAAAUUUGGUAGAAGAUAGGCAUCGCGUGAAUGCUGCUCUUUUUACUGUGCCAGAAUACAGCGGUAAGAAUAUUUGUACAACGAUAGGUCGUAGGAUUAGAUUACUGAAAAAAUAGAUAACAUAGAACCGGUUAUGGUGAUAAAUAUAUAUUUCCCAUAAAAUAUGGCUGAUUUCAUAUUAAUUUUUUUAUUGACGGUCUUAACACGUAAUUAACAUAACAAUACAUUUUGAUGUGCCAAUUACGUUUCUGUGAUUAGCUUAACGGUUAUAUUUCUUGUUGUUGUUGUAGCAUCAGAACUCUGCCGUGUUGACAGUCCUUGGCCGGAUAACAAUUCGGGUCCGUUCCGGUUACGUAGACCCGAUUGUCGUGGGAACGAACGUUCAUUUUGCAGUUGGCAACUCUUUAUUUUUAAUUAUUGUUGGCAAUAUCAUUUGUGUAGUUGGCAAUUCCGGUUACAAUAGUAAAGUGAAAAUUUUUCCUCCUCUUUAGUGUGUUUUCCAGCUUUUCCGCUUUUAUUUGUGUAUAAAAACGUUAGAAACAAACAUUUUAAUAAAUAAAUGUAUAUCAAUAAAUGAAUAUGUGCAAGAAAUAAUUAAAAAUAUAUCGCAGAUAUAUUGGAAAUGCUUAGAUAAGCUUAAUGUGAAAUAAGUGCUGUUUGUCGUUGUUAAGAGGACGAGAAAAUCCAUGUGUACAAUAAAAGGCGUGAAGCAUACACCAUAAGAAAAUGCGCAUCUUAACAGAGAAAUAACUUUUCUUCUAAGAAAACCAGAAUACAUAUAUAGCUUCAAUCAUUCUUACAACAGAAAAAUUUGUGCCACAUACAGUAUAAUAUUAAUAAACACAAUUUAUUAAAUAAAUGGGCGGUAAUAGUACAACAAAUACUUUUACCGCUGGUGGCUAUAUUGGGCCUGCUAGCGGAAGUAGUGUUGGUGGUAGCAGUGGCGGUGCAGUAGGCGGUGAUCUCAUACCAAAUAUGAGUGCUGCUAGUGGUACUUCUUAUGCUUACGGCACAAGUUGGGAGGAAUUCUGUGAACGUCAUUCACGUGUAGCGGCCGCUGACUUUGCCAAAGCUUGUAUAAACUAUAUAAAUGGAAACUUGCCACCCGAAGAGGCGCGCAAUAUUUCAUAUCGCAGCUUUGGACAGAAGUUUGCCGAGGCAUUUGUGGAUCAUUUCGAAACCGAAUUUUGCCAUAGACGUAGUAAUGCUAAGACUGGUAAUGGAAAUUCAUUAGAGGAAAGUGGCAACACAGUCGAAGAUUCACCGAAAAUUUUUCACAAAGCAUUCUUUCGAAGGCUUUCGUUCAAAGGUCUGCGCAAGGGCAAGAAUUUCUUGUUCCUGCAGACACUUUUUCAUAAGAACAGCGAUGAUUUAGAUGGCAGCAAACACAGCAAGACAAAGAUCUCGAAAAUUAUUGUCGAAUGUCGUAAAGAAGGUUACGUCUAUAAUUUAACACCGGAAAGCUUGGAUCAACCAACAGGCACACAAAAAUGGGAAAAAUGUCGCCUGGCACUGGUGAAAGCUGUUGGCGGCUAUAUGUUGGAGUUUUACACACCACCUAAAGCUACAAAGCCUCGAAGUGGCGUGUUUUGUUUCCUAAUAUCGGAGGCGAGAAAAACAACUCGACUUGAAAUGCCCGACCGUGAAAAUACUUUUGUUUUGAAGGCAGAUAACAAUAUGGAAUAUGUUAUUGAGGCAGAGAGCAGUGACGAAAUGCACAGCUGGUUAGCAACUAUACGUUACUGCAUGCGUACACCGCCCACGCAGCAAUUGCCCUUGGAAUCGGCAGAUGCAUUACUUACUGGAGGUGGUGGUGUCGGCGGGAUAAUGGGUGGCAUUUCAGCGACAUCUUCAAUGGCUAUGAGUCCGAGUGGCAAUUUAACUUCCACAGAUGGCACUAUCCCACGCAGCGGUGGCAUUAAUAAUCCCCAAUACCAUCAAACAAACAUAAUUGGCUCUAACGGCAAUGUCGGCCCAAGCAGUUCGCAAUCGGACAAUGCAUUGGUAUCUGCUAAUGCGAGCGUAGGUGCAACAGCAACUAUUGGUAAUGAUGUAAAUGCAAUGGAAGGUAUACCCGAUAUACCACCGAGACGUGUCGGACCUGGCGAAAGAGGUGAACAACGCCUAUCGGCAUCGAGUAAUUUCGAACCCGAAUGUGAUACCGAAUUAGAUAUAAAUGUAGCUGAUUUGACGGCCGAAAUGCGGCAGUAUCCAUGGUUUCAUGGUACACUGCCGCGUUCAGAAGCGGCUCGUAUGGUAUUACAUUCAGAAGCGGCAGGACAUGGUUUUUUUUUAGUGCGCCAAAGUGAAACGCGCAAAGGUGAAUUUGUGCUGACAUUCAAUUUCCAAGGGCGUGCUAAACAUUUACGUAUGACCUUGUCGGAGAAGGGCCAAUGCCGCGUGCAGCAUUUAUGGUUUCCUUCGAUUCAGGAGAUGCUCGAGCACUUUCGGCACAAUCCAAUACCAUUAGAAUCGGGCGGUACAUCAGAUGUUACACUAACCGAGUGGGUACAUAAUCAAGGAACUUCGUGUAGCGGCACAAAUGAUGCCAGUAGCAAUGAGACAAACGGUGCGCAUCAACAACAACCACAACAACAACAGCAACAGCAUCCAUCACCGAGACAUGUGAGAUAGCCUAAAUUUUGGAGUCCAUUCAGUCCGCAGCAUGUAAUCACAUUGAACAUGAGUGUGCGUUUAAAAACGUGCGAAAUUGAGUUACCGUUUUUACAACAGCCGCAUCACCAUCAUAUACAUUUACAACCGUCGCAAAUAUCAACACAGCAGCAGCAACAAUCACAACCGCAUCAGCUUCAGCAGCAGCAACAACAACAACUAAACGCGCCACAACUACGAGCAUCAACAGUAUCACUACAAUCGCCGAAUUCACAUCAUAAUACUAGUGCAAGAGUUGCGAGCAUUAACGAUUUGAACGCAAAUGAAAUGGGUCCACGCGCGGUCGACAACCAGUACAGUUUUGUGUAACUCAAUUCCGCUACGAAUAAUUUAUCCUUGGCAAAGCCGAAAUACAGUAAAAACUAUAUUUACCUACAUACAUACUAUAUGUAUACAUACUUACAUAAGUGAAUGUAAACUUAAAGCAGCUAGUAUUUUUCAUUGCCUUCCACAUGAAAAUUACAUAACUCGACAGAUUUUACCAUGAUUUCCUUGUAAAUUAACAAUAUUUCGUUAAACUUCUAAUGUGUUCAUAUACCUAACGAAAAAAUGCAUGUAUGUUUAUUUGGUAUUUGUUAAAACAGACAUGCAUAUUUGAAUGAUUUGUAAAUGUAGGCAUAAAAAAUAUUUAGGAGUUUUUUUUCCUCUACAUUUCGUAAAGCAAAAAUUAUUAUAUAUAUAUAAUAUAAUUAUUAGGGUUUUAGUUAAAUUAAGGUUGACUGCGCGUUGUUGCAUAUUGAAAUUAAAAGUACAUAUGUAUAUACCUAUGUCUUAAACUGUUCAGUUUUUACUUGAAAUAUAAAUUUCCUGUGUAUUUAAGUAUUUAAGUAAGUAAUGCUUUAUCAACUAAUAACUCACUAUUGGUUCCGAAACUUUUACUAAACAGUUGUAAAUAUUAUUUGCUCAAUAGCCGAUAUAUAUAUACAUAUAUAUUAAAGAAAAAUAUGCUAUAGCUGAUAUUUAAAAUUUUCAAUUAGAUUUCUCCUAAAAACAAAAGGCUGCUUAAGUAGUAGAUAUUAAUCGUAAGUGCAUAAUUUUUAAGCAAACACACAAGUUAGGUUUUUCGACUUAUGUAUAUUCAGGUUAAUGAGAAGUUAUUAAAAAAAAUUAACUGUAAGCUAAAAAAAUUGCAUACAAUACUCAACAAGUAGGAAAGAUAACAUUGAAAAAGACAAAACAAUUUAUUUACAUGCGUUGUUGUUGUCGUCGCAACAUAAAUAUAAUAAAUAAGGUUUAAGUAAAUUCUACUGGGGAGACAAUACUUGACCUGAUAUAGGUAUGUAAAUCCAGUUAUGUAAACAUCUUUUAUAUAAGAUGUAAUUAAAUGAUGAAUUCGAAGAAAUUAACACAAUGAAAUAUAGAAAUUUAUUCUUUAAAAACUUGCAAUUUUUUUCGGCACACUGUAGAACUUAACGCAAAACAUUUUUAAAAUGUGUAUAUCUGUACAUAUAUAAACAUUACAACGUUUAUAGUCAUUUCCAAAAGCUAGAAUGGCUUAUUGGUGGAGUUUAAGUUUGUAAAAAUGUCGUUCUAAAAAAAUUAAGAUACGGUUUUUACGUUUAUAUGCAGAGCAUUAAUAUAUAUGGUGCUUUUAUUUACACCCUGAACAGGAUAUAUUAAGUUUGCCACGAAGUUUGGAAACGUCGAAAACCCUAAAAAAAUAUAUAUGGUAUAUAAAUGAUCAGCAUUACGAGCUGAGUCGCUUUGCCAUCGUUUGUUUGUCCGUCCGUCUACAGCAUUUAGCUGUCAUAUCACCUCUCCGAUCAAAUUCAUGUGCUUGUAUGGAAAACUUUUUUAUUUGAUAAAUUAUCUUCACGAAAUUUGGCAGAGAUUAUUUUCUGUGGGCGCAGAAAUUGUUCAGAUCGGACCCUUUAUAGCAUAUAGCUGCCAUACAAACUGACCGAUCCAAAUCAAGUUCUUGUAUGGAAUGUUUUGUAUUUGUGAAGGAUAUUAUAGUUAACGUUUUUUAUUCUUUUGUUUUUCACUUUUCCCCCCCUCUAGGCCAAAACAUAAAAUUUUUGGUCAUUGCAAGUGUUUUUACGUAUACGUGUGUGUAUACAUUCUUCAUAUUCAUCAAUUAAGAAGUGAAAAGUGGUUGUAAUACUAAAAUUGAAGAUUUUCUCUAUGACAAAAACAAAAAGUGUGUCUGAACAUACUAGAAAUAUAGGAAUAAUACUUGACGUCAACGUCGCAUGGAAUUGAAUUCUAGACACACUGAUAAGGGUUGAGUAUAAAUUGUAUAAUAUGCUUGUACAUGUGUAUUUACAUGCAAGCAAGUUUGAACGUAUUUAAAACGGAAAAAAUAAAUGAAAGCAACAACUUUAAAGUAAUAUGUCCUCUCUGUAUGUAUAUGUAUGUAUUUGCAAUCAUUUAAGCCCAUAGUUAAAAACAAAUAUAUACUACAUUACGUAUUUAUAAAUAUAAAGCGUUGUAUAGUAACAUACAUAUGUGCAAGUAGUCAUAUAUAUAUACACACAUUACAUAUACGAGUAUUUUGCAAGUUUAUUGCUAAACAAACAAACACACAAACGAUGUUACAUAACUAUUCCUAUACGUAUCAGUUAAAUUUUUGAUGCAACUACCUAUAUACAUACAUACAUACAAACAAAUAUUUGUUUACGCAAUAAAAGCCAAACGCUACAAACAGCAGUUAAACAAUAA